GACGAACGCUGGCGGCGUGCUUAACACAUGCAAGUCGAGCGAGGCCCACCUUUCGGGGUGGUGUUCUAGCGGCGAACGGGUGAGUAACACGUGGGCAACCUGCCCUCAGCUCUGGGAUAACUCCAAGAAAUUGGGGCUAAUACCGGAUAUGACUGCUGACCGCAUGGUCUGGUGGUGGAAAGAUUUAUCGGCUGGGGAUGGGCCCGCGGCCUAUCAGCUUGUUGGUGGGGAGUGGCCUACCAAGGCGACGACGGGUAGCCGGCCUGAGAGGGUGACCGGCCACACUGGGACUGAGACACGGCCCAGACACCUACGGGUGGCAGCAGUUUCGAAUCAUUCACAAUGGGCGAAAGCCUGAUGGUGCGACGCCGCGUGAGGGAUGAAGGUCUUCGGAUUGUAAACCCUCUGUCACCGGGGAAGAAACGCUUUGAGUUAAUAGUUCAAAGCCUGACUUAACCCGGAGAGGAAGCAGU
RNAcentral lists this ribosomal RNA (473 nucleotides) under uncultured bacterium. RNAcentral's name for it is "bacterial SSU rRNA". It matches the Rfam family "Bacterial small subunit ribosomal RNA", at positions 28 to 494 of the family's 1533-position model. The record is from RNAcentral.